UGGUAGAGAUGGGUGUUGUUUCUUCUCAACAGGAACAUAUAUUCCUGGUGUUCCUGAUGUGCUCCUGAUGCCCACAUUACCUGGGUGGUGAACAUACCAGUGGAAUAGGUACUGCAGAUGCUCUAAGGAAACAGAGUAAUCCAAAGCAGCAAUGACUCCAGCUGAGGCACUCGUGGUAGCUGUCAGCCAGGAACAAAAUCCAUCACCUCUUCCCGGAGGGGCCACACCUGGGGUACCAAAGCUGUGCCACUGAGGGUGGGUGAUCCUUGCUGAAGGACAUGUGAAACUGUGCUCACAGAGGAUAUGGGUUGGUGACCAGUGGGUCGAGAGGAAGAUCAGGCUGACUGGUGGGUUUACUUGUCUCUCCUGUUUGCGUCUCCCUCAUUAAGUGAGCAGAUAGAUGAACAGUGACACCUUUAAAAUGUCUGUAUCCCUGCAAGUAAAUACAAAUGCUCCAAAACAUUGCUAUUCCUGCCCUCCCAUUUCUCCUUAGAAACAGUCUUUUAUGACUUUAUUAUGUGCUUUAGCCUGCUUCUAGCACAGUUUGCUUUCUAAUGUUCCACGUGAGAACCUCUGAGGGCAUGCUGAGAAUUGCUGUAGCUCUGGAGACAUAGAUGCUCUCGAUAAUUUGUUAAAAAAAAAAAUAGUGCUCUCCAUUUCCUGUUCCCAUUGUGGCCUCUUAAGCUCAACAAAGAGGAAUCUGAACACCAGUGCAAGAAAAUAAGAGUUAAUGUCUGAUAUAGUCUUGCCUGAAAUAUUCUGAGACAAAACUUUUCAAAAUAAAGUUUAUUGAUGCAAAGGAAAAGCCUAAAGAAAGUUGCUCUUCACAGCAUUUUACUACAGCGUCAGGAGGUGAUAAAAGUCAGAAGGACUUUUCAAAGGGCUUCAUAACUUGAAAGGAAAAGGUAUUGAGAAUAUUUAAUGUAGCUGUUAUGUUUGAACAUGGUUCAUUUAUGCCCAAACGCUAGUCUCCACUUCUCCACAAUCCCUGUAACUUCUAUAUGAUGAAAGGGCAUGCUGAACACCUAUAAAAUGUGCUGUUACAAUAUAGGCAAUUCUUCUGGAGAAUGACUACAAUUUCUUCAUUCAACACAGGUUAUAUAGCAAUCAGGGAAAUCAUAUUCCAUUCAUCUGGAAAGUUCUUAAAAAUUGGCAUCUAGCUGUAUAUUACUGGAGAAACUAAAAAAAAAUAAAAAAUAGAGUAACCUGCACUGAAGUAUAAUCGAAAACUUUGCUUGAUGCUUGUCUGUGGUCCAUAAAGCAGAUAUGCUGAAAUACGUAAUGGUCAAAAGUGUGAACCAGACAAAAACUAAAGGCUUUUGAGCAAGGCACCAGUGAGAUUCAUCUGGAAUAUGCCUGGCACACCUCACUGCAGAAGGAAAAUGCAAAACUAGUAGGGAUUCAAGGAAAGGAGGUAAAAUAAGAUUCUGGCUUGAAAAAAAAUAACAGAUUUGGUGAGCAAGGGACUAAAAAGAUGAGGACAGAUUACCCAGAAAAAGAG
Cygnus olor (mute swan) is the source of this 1501-nucleotide long non-coding RNA. RefSeq lists it as uncharacterized. Lineage: Eukaryota; Metazoa; Chordata; Aves; Anseriformes; Anatidae. The record is from RefSeq and is a predicted model, not a curated record. The transcript is spliced from 3 exons.